CAUGCAAGUAGUGUGGUGGUGGCGAGGUGGCAAGCUGCAUGCAGCUUGCAUGCAUGCUGGUGUGGUGGCGGCAAAGUGGUGGCAAGGUGGUGGCAAGGUGGCAGUGAUGCAUGCUCCCUCGGCAAGGUGAUCUGACAUAAAUGGAAUGAAUAAAACGGUAGAACGACAUGCGGCGGCCUACACGGGAGGAGAGGAAAGGAUAAUGCAUGCUGCUUGCCUGCUUGCUGGUGAAGGGUGGGUGCAUCCGUGUACAGAAAGAAAAAGGGAUGGUACAAAUGGAUAUGGGCGAAUCAAAAGAAUAGAUGGAAAAUAUUGCCUGCUGGGAAUUUUUAGAUAUGACAACCGAUUGAUUUUCAUGGAAUAAACAGAGUCUGAGGAAAAUGGAACAGAUAGUAGUCACGGCGAUUAAUAUUUAAUCGGACGAAUGGAAAUUGAAAAAAAGGAAUAGAUAAAGGAUGAGGCGAUUAAUAUUUAUUUUGGACGAUCGAGUGCAGAAUAAAAAGGAAUAUUACGACGAUAGAAGAUUGGACAUGAUAUUAAUCUGAUGGUAGAAGUUCGGAAUAAAAUAUUCUGAACGGAUAUUAGAUAAGACGAAUAAAAUUCGUCGGGCAAUCAAGGACUCAAAUAAAUAAAUUUCCGAUGACCGGAAAUUUUAUUUGCGCGGUUAAAUUCUCCGAAAAGAAUUUUAGUCACGCGGAUUUUUGGAGAUUCAGGGAUGCUGAGAAAAAAAUAGAUGAUUUAUUAUUCCUCUGGAA
Long non-coding RNA from Oryza brachyantha (malo sina), 755 nucleotides. RefSeq lists it as uncharacterized. Lineage: Eukaryota; Viridiplantae; Streptophyta; Magnoliopsida; Poales; Poaceae. The record is from RefSeq and is a predicted model, not a curated record. The transcript is spliced from 3 exons.